AGAGUUUGAUCCUGGCUCAGGAUAAACGCUGGCGGCGUGCCUAACACAUGCAAGUCGAACGCGGAUGGAAACAUCCGAGUGGCGGACGGGUGAGGAACACGUGGGUAAUCUACCUUGAGGUGAGGAAUACCGGCGAGAAAUCGCCGACAAUACCGCAUACGUUUGGAGACAAACAAAGCUACGCAAGUGGCGCCACAAGA
This 200-nucleotide ribosomal RNA is filed under the name uncultured bacterium. RNAcentral describes it as "partial 16S ribosomal RNA". It matches the Rfam family "Bacterial small subunit ribosomal RNA", at positions 8 to 225 of the family's 1533-position model. The record is from RNAcentral.